RNAcentral lists this ribosomal RNA (647 nucleotides) under uncultured archaeon. RNAcentral describes it as "bacterial SSU rRNA". It matches the Rfam family "Archaeal small subunit ribosomal RNA", at positions 1 to 631 of the family's 1478-position model. The record is from RNAcentral.
UUCCGGUUGAUCCUGCCGGACCCCACUGCUAUCGAGAUGGGACUAAGGUAUGCUAGUCGAACGACCAGAACUAUGUCUGGGAGUGGCACACUGCUCAGUAACACGUAGCUAACCUACCCUUAGGACGUGGAUACCCCCGAGAAAUUGGGGUUAAUCCGCGAUAGAUGUAAUGUCCUGGAAUGGUAUUACGUCUAAAGGUAUUUCAUACAUGUUUGAAAUAUGCCUAAGGAUGGGGCUGCGGCCGAUCAGGCUGUUGGUGAGGUAAUGGCUCACCAAACCUUUGACCGGUACGGGCCAUGAGAGUGGUAGCCCGGAGAUGGACACUGAGACAAGGGUCCAGGCCCUAAGGGGCGCAGCAACCGCGAAACCUCCACAAUGCACUCACGUGCGAUGGGGCUAUCUCGAGUGCCACCUGAUGAAGGUGGCUUUUCCUUGGUCUUCAAAGCCUUGGGAAUAAGAGGGGGGCAAGACUGGUGUCAGCCGCCGCGGUAACACCAGCCCCUCGAGUGGUGGGGAUGAUUAUUUGGCCUAAAGCGUCCGUAGCCGGCCGAGUAGGUCCCCCGUUAAAUCCCGUCUCAAGCGUUGGACUGCCGGAGAUACUACUUGGCUAGAGAGUGGGAGAGGUCAGCGGUAUUCUGGGGGUAGGG